UCCAGGUGAUCGUCCUAUGGAACUGUGACAAGCCCCUCCCGGCCAAACACCGCUGGCCUGCCACCGCCGUACCUGUCCUAGUCAUAGAUGGGGAGAGCAAGGUGAUGAGCAGUCGUUUCCUGCCCUAUGACACAAUACCAACAGACGCCGUUCUGAGUCUGGACGAGGAUACAGUUCUCUCUACUACUGAGGUGGACUUUGCUUUCACGGUGUGGCAGAGUUUCCCAGA
Oncorhynchus gorbuscha (pink salmon) is the source of this 229-nucleotide long non-coding RNA. RefSeq lists it as uncharacterized. NCBI's taxonomy places the organism in Eukaryota, Metazoa, Chordata, Actinopteri, Salmoniformes, Salmonidae. The transcript has 3 exons. The record is from RefSeq and is a predicted model, not a curated record.